RNAcentral lists this ribosomal RNA (142 nucleotides) under uncultured bacterium. Its description in RNAcentral is "partial 16S ribosomal RNA". It matches the Rfam family "Bacterial small subunit ribosomal RNA", at positions 354 to 509 of the family's 1533-position model. The record is from RNAcentral.
UGGGGGAAUAUUGGGCAAUGGGCGGCAAGCCUGACCCAGCAACGCCGCGUGAAGGAAGAAGGCCCUCGGGUUGUAAACUUCUUUUAUCAGGGACGAAGAAAGUGACGGUACCUGAUGAAUAAGCCACGGCUAACUACGUGCC